AUUGAACGCUGGCGGAAUGCUUUACACAUGCAAGUCGAACGGCAGCACGGGGGCAACCCUGGUGGCGAGUGGCGAACGGGUGAGUAAUACAUCGGAACGUGCCCAGUCGUGGGGGAUAACGUAGCGAAAGUUACGCUAAUACCGCAUACGAUCUACGGAUGAAAGCGGGGGACCGUAAGGCCUCGCGCGAUUGGAGCGGCCGAUGUCAGAUUAGGUAGUUGGUGAGGUAAAGGCUCACCAAGCCGACGAUCUGUAGCUGGUCUGCGAGGACGAACGGCCACGCUGGGACUGAGACACGGCCCAGACUCCGACGGGAGGCAGCAGUGGGGAAUUUUGGACAAUGGGCGCAAGCCUGAUCCAGCCAUUCCGCGUGCAGGACGAAGGCCUUCGGGUUGUAAACUGCUUUUGUACGGAACGAAAAGGCUCUGGUUAAUACCUGGGGCUCGUGACGGUACCGUAAGAAUAAGCACCGGCUAACUACGUGCCAGCAGCCGCGGUAA
RNAcentral lists this ribosomal RNA (500 nucleotides) under uncultured bacterium. RNAcentral describes it as "partial 16S ribosomal RNA". It matches the Rfam family "Bacterial small subunit ribosomal RNA", at positions 29 to 523 of the family's 1533-position model. The record is from RNAcentral.